CAGUCGCCGCGGUAAGACAGAGGAUGCAAGCGUUAUCCGGAAUGAUUGGGCGUAAAGCGUCUGUAGGUGGCUUUUCAAGUCCGCCGUCAAAUCCCAGGGCUCAACCCUGGACAGGCGGUGGAAACUACCAAGCUGGAGUACGAUAGGGGCAGAGGGAAUUUCCGGUGGAGCGGCGAAAUGCGUUGAGAUCGGAAAGAACACCAACGGCGAAAGCACUCUGCUGGGCCGACACUGACACUGAGAGACGAAAGCUAUGGGAGCAAAUGGGAUUAGAUACCCGCGUAGUCCCUGUCUCUUAUAC
This 301-nucleotide ribosomal RNA is filed under the name uncultured bacterium. Its description in RNAcentral is "partial 16S ribosomal RNA". It matches the Rfam family "Bacterial small subunit ribosomal RNA", at positions 509 to 807 of the family's 1533-position model. The record is from RNAcentral.